UACGUAGGGGGCAAGCGUUGUCCGGAUUUAUUGGGCGUAAAGAGCGUGUAGGCGGCCUGAAAGGUCAGCUGUGAAAACUCGAGGCUCAACCUCGAGACGUCGGUUGAAACCAUCUGGCUAGAGUCCGGAAGAGGAGUGUGGAAUUCCCGGUGUAGCGGUGAAAUGCGCAGAUAUCGGGAAGAACACCCGUGGCGAAGGCGGCACUCUGGGACGGUAC
RNAcentral lists this ribosomal RNA (217 nucleotides) under uncultured bacterium. RNAcentral describes it as "partial 16S ribosomal RNA". It matches the Rfam family "Bacterial small subunit ribosomal RNA", at positions 524 to 740 of the family's 1533-position model. The record is from RNAcentral.